AAGACUAUACUUUCAGGGAUCAUUUCUAUAGUUUCUGACUUGAGAAAUGUGUUUCUAAAGUGUUUGGUCUCGCCAACCACGAUGAUGAGGUGGUGAUAUUCUUUCUUGAGCGCGAAGCGGGCAGAGAGACUUGAUUUGUAUCAUACGCUCUUUGCUUUUGAUGACCGUUCACUGUCUCCUCUGGGGACUCUGAGGGAAAGAGUAUGAUCAGAGUGGU
RNAcentral lists this small nucleolar RNA (217 nucleotides) under Acanthochromis polyacanthus (spiny chromis). RNAcentral describes it as "Small nucleolar RNA U3 (ENSAPOG00000007311.1)". It matches the Rfam family "Small nucleolar RNA U3". Rfam says of the family: Small nucleolar RNAs (snoRNAs) are involved in the processing and modification of rRNA in the nucleolus. There are two main classes of snoRNAs: the box C/D class, and the box H/ACA class. U3 snoRNA is a member of the box C/D class. The record is from Rfam by way of RNAcentral. Lineage: Eukaryota; Metazoa; Chordata; Actinopteri; Pomacentridae.